GAUCGCGGUGAUGACCCACUGAAAUUCAAGCUCAACAGACCGGAAUGCGGAGUUUCUCUCCUUUGAGAGCCUCGCGUGUCGACCACCCCACUGAACUGAGGGAUC
This is a small nucleolar RNA of Vitis vinifera (wine grape), 105 nucleotides long. It matches the Rfam family "Small nucleolar RNA Z107/R87". From Rfam's summary of the family: Z107 and R87 are members of the C/D class of snoRNA which contain the C (UGAUGA) and D (CUGA) box motifs. Most of the members of the box C/D family function in directing site-specific 2'-O-methylation of substrate RNA The record is from Rfam. NCBI's taxonomy places the organism in Eukaryota, Viridiplantae, Streptophyta, Magnoliopsida, Vitales, Vitaceae.